Molecule: ribosomal RNA, 1409 nt
Filed under: bacterium NLAE-zl-G523
Lineage: Bacteria
Description: bacterial SSU rRNA
Rfam family: Bacterial small subunit ribosomal RNA
Source: RNAcentral
GCUACCAUGCAGUCGAGGGGCAGCAUUUCAGUUUGNUUGCAAACUGGAGAUGGCGACCGGCGCNNUGGUGAGCUAACACGCNAUCCNACCUGCCGAUAACUCGGGGANAGCCUUUCGAAAGAAAGAUUAAUACCCGAUGGUAUAAUCAGACCGCAUGGUCUUGUUAUUAAAGAAUUUCGGUUAUCGAUGGGGAUGCGUUCCAUUAGGCAGUUGGUGAGGUAACGGCUCACCAAACCUUCGAUGGAUAGGGGUUCUGAGAGGAAGGUCCCCCACAUUGGAACUGAGACACGGUCCAAACUCCUACGGGAGGCAGCAGUGAGGAAUAUUGGUCAAUGGGCGCAGGCCUGAACCAGCCAAGUAGCGUGAAGGAUGACUGCCCUAUGGGUUGUAAACUUCUUUUAUAUGGGAAUAAAGUUUUCCACGUGUGGAAUUUUGUAUGUACCAUAUGAAUAAGGAUCGGCUAACUCCGUGCCAGCAGCCGCGGUAAUACGGAGGAUCCGAGCGUUAUCCGGAUUUAUUGGGUUUAAAGGGAGCGUAGGUGGACAGUUAAGUCAGUUGUGAAAGUUUGCGGCUCAACCGUAAAAUUGCAGUUGAUACUGGCUGUCUUGAGUACAGUAGAGGUGGGCGGAAUUCGUGGUGUAGCGGUGAAAUGCUUAGAUAUCACGAAGAACUCCGAUUGCGAAGGCAGCUCACUGGACUGCAACUGACACUGAUGCUCGAAAGUGUGGGUAUCAAACAGGAUUAGAUACCCUGGUAGUCCACACAGUAAACGAUGAAUACUCGCUGUUUGCGAUAUACAGUAAGCGGCCAAGCGAAAGCAUUAAGUAUUCCACCUGGGGAGUACGCCGGCAACGGUGAAACUCAAAGGAAUUGACGGGGGGCCCGCACAAGCGGAGGAACAUGUGGUUUAAUUUCGAUGAUACGCGAGGAACCUUACCCGGGCUUAAAUUGCAUUUGAAUAUAUUGGAAACAGUAUAGCCGUAAGGCAAAUGUGAAGGUGCUGCAUGGUUGUCGUCAGCUCGUGCCGUGAGGUGUCGGCUUAAGUGCCAUAACGAGCGCAACCCUUAUCUUUAGUUACUAACAGGUCAUGCUGAGGACUCUAGAGAGACUGCCGUCGUAAGAUGUGAGGAAGGUGGGGAUGACGUCAAAUCAGCACGGCCCUUACGUCCGGGGCUACACACGUGUUACAAUGGGGGGUACAGAAGGCAGCUACCUGGUGACAGGAUGCUAAUCCCAAAAGCCUCUCUCAGUUCGGAUCGAAGUCUGCAACCCGACUUCGUGAAGCUGGAUUCGCUAGUAAUCGCGCAUCAGCCAUGGCGCGGUGAAUACGUUCCCGGGCCUUGUACACACCGCCCGUCAAGCCAUGAAAGCCGGGGGUACCUGAAGUACGUAACCGCAAGGAGCUCCUA